This 457-nucleotide long non-coding RNA is filed under the name Salmo salar (Atlantic salmon). Its description in RNAcentral is "lncRNA (ENSSSAG00000082110.1)". Lineage: Eukaryota; Metazoa; Chordata; Actinopteri; Salmoniformes; Salmonidae. The record is from RNAcentral.
GUAGGUGGAGGUAUAGAGGUAUAGGACUGUAGGUGGAGGUAUAGAGGUACGGGACUGUAUGUGGAGGUAUGGGGCUGUAGGUGGAGGUAUAGAGGUAUGGGACUGUAGGUGGAGGUAUAGAGGUAUGGGACUGCAGGUGGAGGUAAAGAGGUAUGGGACUGUAGGUGGAGGUAUGGGACUGUAGGUGGAGGUAUGGGACUGUAGGUGGAGGUAUAGAGGUAUGGGACUGUAGGUGGAGGUAUAGAGGUAUGGGACUGUAGGUGGAGGUGGAGGUAUAGAGGUUUGGGACUGUAGGUGGAGGUAUGGGACUGUAGGUGGAGGUAUAGAGGUAUGGGACUGUAGGUGGAGGUAUAGAGGUAUGGGACUGUAGGUGGAGGUAUGGACUGUAGGUGGAGGUAUGGGACUGUAGGUGGAGGUAUAGAGGUAUGGGACUGUAGGUGGAGGUAUGGGACUGUAG